CCUACGGGAGGCAGCAGUAGGGAAUAUUGGGCAAUGGAGGCAACUCUGACCCAGCCAUGCCGCGUGCAGGAUGAAGGCGUUAUGCGUUGUAAACUGCUUUUAUAUAGGAAGAAAUAGACCUUGCGAGGUAAGUUGACGGUACUAUAUGAAUAAGCACCGGCUAACUCCGUGCCAGCAGCCGCGGUAAUACGGAGGGUGCAAGCGUUGUCCGGAUUUAUUGGGUUUAAAGGGUGCGUAGGCGGUUUAUUAAGUCAGUGGUGAAAGACGGUCGCUCAACGAUUGCAGUGCCAUUGAUACUGGUAGACUUGAGUGGGAUUGAGGUAGCUGGAAUGGAUAGUGUAGCGGUGAAAUGCAUAGAUAUUAUCCAGAACACCAAUUGCGUAGGCAAGUUACUAAGUCUCAACUGACGCUGAGGCACGAAAGUGUGGGUAUCAAACAGGAUUAGAUACCCUGGUAGUCCACACUGUAAACGAUGAUAACUAACUGUUGGCUUUCGGGUCAGUGGUACAGAGAAAUCGUUAAGUUAUCCACCUGGGGAGUACGCCGGCAACGGUGAAACUUAAGGAAUUGACGG
RNAcentral lists this ribosomal RNA (574 nucleotides) under uncultured bacterium. RNAcentral's name for it is "bacterial SSU rRNA". It matches the Rfam family "Bacterial small subunit ribosomal RNA", at positions 338 to 916 of the family's 1533-position model. The record is from RNAcentral.